RNAcentral lists this ribosomal RNA (428 nucleotides) under uncultured bacterium. RNAcentral describes it as "partial 16S ribosomal RNA". It matches the Rfam family "Bacterial small subunit ribosomal RNA", at positions 354 to 796 of the family's 1533-position model. The record is from RNAcentral.
GUGGGGAAUAUUGGGCAAUGGGCGAAAGCCUGACCCAGCAACGCCGCGUGAGGGAAGAAGGUUUUCGGAUUGUAAACCUCUGUCCUUGGUGACGAACACAAUGACGGUAGCCAAGGAGGAAGCCCCGGCUAACUACGUGCCAGCAGCCGCGGUAAUACGUAGGGGGCAAGCGUUGUCCGGAAUGACUGGGCGUAAUGGGCGGGUAGGCGGACGAUUAAGUCUGGAGUGAAAGUCCUGCUUUCAAGGUGGGAAUUGCUUUUGAGACUGGUUGGCUUGAGGGCGGAAGAGGCAAGUGGAAUUCCCAGUGUAGCGGUGAAAUGCGUAGAGAUUGGGAGGAACACCAGUGGCGAAGGCGACUUGCUGGGCCGUAACUGACGCUGAGGCGCGAAAGCGUGGGGAGCGAACAGGAUUAGAAACCCUGGUAGUCC